ACCUGCAAAAGAAUCCUGAGAGCAACACCCUGGGAGAGGGGUUAGUUUAGUGCCAGCCCCAGCGAGCCAGGGAGGAAAGAUGUCCCUGUCCAGGGCUGAGGACAGAAGGGACCCCUGGUCCUCGAAACUGUGUUGUGUCCUGAAGUCCUUCUAGGUGACCCUCUGCUUCAGACCCAGCGGCUGCUGGCUGGGCCUCGGAUGCUGCCCUGUUCACCUCCUUCUGGAACUGGCUUCUCCAGCCUCAUGAAGAUUACAGAAACCCUCGUGGUGAAGGAAGCCUGAGCUGGUUUGUGCUGCGUUGCUUGCAAUCUGUCAAAAACUGGCAGUGCUGCCCUCCUCUGUGAAGUGGGCACUUCCCGAUAAUAUUGGUGUGGGGCGUUCCCUGGGUUCCCGGGGUGCAUGUAGCUCCAGGACUUCUCAGAUCAGGCUGGGGACUCCUUAAAAAUGACAAUACUCUGCAGGCUUUGUCUACGGAGCAGUGUCUCAGCUACCAACACUGCUACGUUAGAAACAGAAAGCGAUGCAUCUUCCGGCACAAGGAUCACAAGCGCGUGUCCCCUCCGUUAGCAGGGGGGCAGUGGUGUCCUCGCUCAUCACAGGCCGCCGGGAAACACCCCUGUACUCCCCGGAAAGAAGAGGCUCUCACAGAGUCGCAGCUUAGUGCUGUCUCGGAAGUGGUUCCAACCCCAAGGCCCUGUAGGGCACCCCAGGAUCUCUGGGCUCCGCACUUGGAGAAUCACCAACCUUCGUAGGUGCUUCCCCCAGUUUCACAGCUAAAGUCAGAAAUAAAAGGAAGUGGGGCAGCAGAUUUGAACCCAGAUCCUGGGUUUGAAGCCUAGCGCACACCCGCCCCCAGCUCGGUGAGGAGCUAACCGGAGGGAGGAGGCGUGUCCAAACUGUCCCUGGACAUCCCCGCCACCCUGGCACCUUGCAUGAGCAGCUGCCCCUCCUGGCUUCCUAAGUCCCUAAGCUGCCGUCUGCCCCAGGCCUGGCUUGACACCAGGGCCCAGCCAGGCUGCUACCUGUGGUCUCCAGGGGCUUCUGUGUGGAGCUCCGAGGCUGCCAGGUGAGCCUUGAGCCUCGAUUGCUUUCCAGUCCCUUCUUGGGGGGGGGGUGGCUGUCCACCCUGAGGACAGGUGGUGCCUGCCCUGUGGUGUGGAUGUCACCCCUGUUGUGUGCUGUGCACAGAAGCCUCUGCUUCUCAGGUUCAGCCAUGUCCCUGAACCCCACCUCCGAGGGGCAGUUCUGCUCCGGAACAUGUUACUUUUCACCUCUAAACUCCUGCUUCCUGCUCUGUACAAUGGUGUCACAACAAAAGGGCCGCCGUGCUCUGACCGCUGCCCACCUCGCCGUCCCCGGUCUCCUCUAUCCUGCCAUCUAACCGGCUCACUUCCGGCUCCCCGAGUGCCGCUGUCCCCCAGCUGGCAGGUCCUCCCCCAGCUCCUGCCCCCACCUCGGAGUCGCCCUCAAGUCUCAACCAAGAAUCCGCUUCCUUUGCUGCCCUGGCUGGAGGCAACUCUGCAGGCUGCAGGAAGAGGACACCUUGGCGACCGAAGUGGUGCCAAGAGGUCCCGGUUCCGGCCCAGGCCCGUCUCUCCUGCACCAGCUCCCCCAGCCUCCUGGCCUCCUCCCGGCAGCCAGCCUCAGUUCCUGUUGCCCUCAGAACCCUCCUGGGCGUGGCCCACGUGACCAGGCUUUGGGAUGGCAGAGAAAAACUGAAUCUGGCGCGCCAGUAACAUCCGUGAUUCCACACAGCUUGAGGACUCGGAGAGCUCCCCAGGCCACCGUGCUGGAUGGGGACCCGCAGGUCAGCAGAGCCUGAGGUGCUGGGACCCCACCUGGCACCUCUACAGCUGCAGCCGCCUGUCCUACUAAGUCAGCAACAGCCGAUCCAUCUCGGCUUCCUCCUCCCAACCCUGCCUGCUCGCUGCCACCCCAGGACCUUUGCACUCACUGUCCCCAUCUGGUAGUCCUUCAUGGCUCCAUAACCCCUUUCUGGAGAGGAGCUCCUAAAACAAGUCUCCCUAAAUGUGGAGGACCUCAGGGGACCAUCCGCAGGAACUGCUCUGGAAGGACCUUGUGCUCUGGAAGUCCUUGGGUCUAGCUCAGUAUGGAGCAGGGACAAAGGGCAGUGGCCAGCUGGAUGAAAAGACCACGAAGGGGUCACUCUGCUGCCGGCCCUGGGCCCCACCUCCUGCAGGGUUCUUAUUUGCCCCCCAGGAGUCCCAUACACUCCAGAGGCAGAUGAGGAGUCACGGGUGCUCUGAGCAGGCCAGGGAGAAGCCUGAGCUGCUGCAUACGUUAAACGCGGCUGUGUCGGGCGCCAGCAGCCUCGGAACCAGGCCGGAGCGCGCGGCCAUAUGGGGAUGCGGUUGCGGAAGAAAUAUUUAUGAAAUGGCUUUUCCCAAUGUUUAAUCUACAGCAGAUGCGUCUGAAGUGAA
Cavia porcellus (domestic guinea pig) is the source of this 2441-nucleotide long non-coding RNA. RefSeq lists it as uncharacterized. Lineage: Eukaryota; Metazoa; Chordata; Mammalia; Rodentia; Caviidae. The transcript has 3 exons. The record is from RefSeq and is a predicted model, not a curated record.